RNAcentral lists this long non-coding RNA (2781 nucleotides) under Nicotiana tabacum (common tobacco). Its description in RNAcentral is "long non-coding RNA (NTAB_LNC003451)". Lineage: Eukaryota; Viridiplantae; Streptophyta; Magnoliopsida; Solanales; Solanaceae. The record is from RNAcentral.
AAAAGAAGAAGAAAUGGGUAGAGACUCCGGUUCAGUGUUUUGGAUCUUGCUCUUUCAUGGAAGCUAGAAGAUGAUGGUAUACUCUGUGUUUAUAGAAUAGUCCCACUCACUCCUCAAUCGUUCUCUCUUCUGAUCUCUCCUUCGGAGUGAGUAAUCAUAAUCAUGGCGACAUCCGAUAAGCAGAACACGUUGGAUUACAUCAACCAGAUGUUUCCCACUGGUAACCUUUUUCUCAACCUUAAUUUACUAUACAGAUUUAUUCAAUUAGGGCUUUAGGUCAAUGCUGCUGAUGUUCUGAAUGUUCCCUCUCUGAAUCUGAUGUAGUUAAUUUCUGAAUUCAGUCUUCUACGAAAAAAAUCUGAAUUUACAGCUUUUGGUUGAGAUUUCGGUUUGAACUGCAGGAAAUUUAUUUUUUUCCCAAUUUCAGGUUAAUUAUAUCAGACUUUCAUCUAUAAAGUCUCACUUUAGAUGGUCCUCACUAUCAAAUGGUGGCAUAUGUAUUAAUUUUUUGAAGUGUUUGAUUUGUAGCUGGAACAUAUAGCAUUGCUGGCACUAUUGACUGAUUGAGCAUGAGCAACUAUAUUUUAUUUUAUUUUACUUUUUGGAGUUAUAUGUCAUGCUAAGUUGGUCUCGCGUUGAAAAGUAUAGAUUUGCACUAACAAUCUAUACAAUAUUGGGUAGCCUUUUUAAACCAGAUUUUAAAGUGAAACCAAAUGGAGGGCCUAAGCCUCAAAAAAAUUCACAUCAACCAAAAAAAUCCAACAAGAGAUGAUCAACUUUAAUAUUAUUGAGUUAGUUACGUUGAUGAAUAUAGAGAAAUGAGGGCUUAGAAAGUCCAUAGUAGAGCAAUUGCAAAUGCUUUUCUUGUCUUAUGUGAAAAGGAUGGAAGAUUCACCCUCCGUUAGAUCAGUGGAUACUAGAAUCUUGGAAGGAACCAUGAGUUAUAAGUUCCAUAAGUGUCAAGGCAAUGACUCAGAUACUUUAGAAGAUUUAAAAGGAACUUGCUCUAAGAAUUUCAAAUGGACUGCAAACCAUGCCUACUUCCAAUAAAAGUAAGUCUUUAUUUUUCACUGGAAGCAGGUCGGCGGAAUUUCAAAAAAGAUGCUGAAUUCAGCUGAAAGCCCAUGGAGAACCCGUGUUUUCGUAUUAAAAGAACCAAACUAAACUUACUACACUUCAGUUUAAAAGAACCAAACUAAACUUACUACACUUCAGUUUAGUUUGCAUAUUCAUAAAACCAAAAAAUGAAUCUGAAAUAGCAGAAGAGUGAACCAGAAAACCACAUGCACAUCCCUACUCUUCAAGGUUUAAGUGAGAACCACUUUUGGAGUUUAGAGGACAGAUCACAUAUGAAAAUGCAAUUUCUUAUUAGAAGUUGGACUAUAGUAAUGUUUCCCUUUUAUUCAAUCAAUUAAAACAAUAAUACUAUCUGCCAGAAAUGUGACAGGUUGACAAGAGUGACUAGAUGACGAGAUGACUUUUUCAAGCUUGUUUGUGUAGGAACAGAGGGAAAAAAUGACCAUUUGUAUUACUUUUUCUGCUACAUUACAUUAGAUUUACUUAGUUUACAUUUCCUUUUCUUUUUCAAACCUGCAUAAAUAAUUUAUAGAGAGUAUAAUGAUAAGGAUCUUUGUUUUAUUUAUCAAACAUCAAUUUAUUGCCUUUUCUGUUUCACACUUAUCUUUGAUCCAUUUCACCACUUAUAUUUUUUGCUACUGAAAUCAUUUCUCUUUGCUCCCUUCUUUUCCUUUUUCUUUGGGAUAACUACAGUAAAUCCAUUCAUAAAAAUGCGUGACAAAAGAGGUGUAGUAAGUAGGCGUCAGAGACAAGCAUUGGGGGAUUCAUAAAGUCGACCAUUUAUUUGUACUAAUUAAUCGUGUGAACUUAAAAGUAGUUUUCUCAAGAUUAGGUUGGAAGUCUCAUUUCCUUGAGUUUAGUUGGACUUUGGAGGAAUAUCGAGGCAUUAGAUAUGCAUUGAAUGUUCAGAACAGGGUUGUGUCGCGUGAAGAUUAGUCUUUGCUCAUUUAAGGACGGAUUAAUUUUUUUUUAUCUGAAGUUUGUAGUUAUUCUUUUGUAUGAUAUAUGUCAUGAAAUAUCCAAAUGAAAAAGUUAAAUGGAUAAUGGACUUCUCCUUUUAGGUGGUAGUUCUGCGAGGAUAUUCACUAAAAGGGUAAAAGGAUAGAGGGAGUUGGAAGUUGAUCUUAAGAGCGUCUUUGACAUUUUGCAAAUGAAUCACUAAUACAGUUCCUUCUGGCGAGCUAUCCGUAAUUGCAAUGUGACACUAUUUGUUUCUAAUAUAAUUGGAUGCCGGAAAUGUAUGAGAACGUUAUAUGGUUAUUUACGGAAGGAACUAGCAUCUGUGGAUAGCUGAGAAGAAGGUGAGUUUUGGGCAUUGACCACCGGAAUCCUAUUGCAAUGGCAAUAAAAUUGGUUUACAGUCCAUAUCUACUCUCGGCCAGUAAUCAUAGUUAACCUAUAAAAUGGCAAUAUAACUGCAUAAAGUUUAUGUUCCUUUAGGCUCUAAUGGACACAAAAAAAGUCUGAUAUGUAAGAAUUAAAAGUUUACUGGUGAUCGACUAAGGCUUGAAGUUUCAAAAUAUUAGAGAGCUAGGUGUAGUUUUUGAACAACUACUCAAUGAAAUAUGUCUAAAAUAUAAUUAAGACUUGAUAUCAUUAUCCUGGCUAAGCUUAAGCAUGCUUAUCUUAGUCAAAUUUGUCGGUUUCUCCAAAAAUCAGUUGACACAUGAUUGAUGUGCAGAAGCAUCUCUAUCUGGCGUUGAG